AACGAACGCUGGCGGCAUGCCUAACACAUGCAAGUCGAACGAGACCUUCGGGUCUAGUGGCGCACGGGUUCGUAACGCGUGGGAACCUGCCCUUAGGUUCGGAAUAACUCCCCGAAAGGGGUGCUAAUACCGGAUAAUGUCUUCGGACCAAAGAUUUAUCGCCUUUGGAUGGGCCCGCGUUGGAUUAGCUUGUUGGUAGGGUAAAAGCCUACCAAGGCGACGAUCCAUAGCUGGUCUGAGAGGAUGAUCAGCCACACUGGGACUGAGACACGGCCCAGACUCCUACGGGAGGCAGCAGUGGGGAAUAUUGGACAAUGGGCGAAAGCCUGAUCCAGCAAUGCCGCGUGAGUGAUGAAGGCCUUAGGGUUGUAAAGCUCUUUUACCCGGGAUGAUAAUGACAGUACCGGGAGAAUAAGCUCCGGCUAACUCCGUG
RNAcentral lists this ribosomal RNA (433 nucleotides) under uncultured bacterium. RNAcentral describes it as "partial 16S ribosomal RNA". It matches the Rfam family "Bacterial small subunit ribosomal RNA", at positions 29 to 507 of the family's 1533-position model. The record is from RNAcentral.